UACAUUCUAUCAUGAUGCAAUGCAAAU
Molecule: small RNA, 27 nt
Filed under: Bombyx mori (domestic silkworm)
Lineage: Eukaryota; Metazoa; Arthropoda; Insecta; Lepidoptera; Bombycidae
Description: ovarian small RNA-20476
Source: RNAcentral